UACGGAGGGUGCGAGCGUUGUCCGGAAUCAUUGGGCGUAAAGGGCGCGUAGGUGGCGACCCAAGUCGAUGGUGAAAGCUCGCCGCUCAACGGCGAGUCGGCCACUGAUACUGGGUUGCUGGAGCACUGUAGAGGCAGAUGGAAUUCCGGGUGUAGCGGUGGAAUGCGUAGAGAUCCGGAAGAACACCGAUAGCGAAGGCAGCUUACGUAUGGUGUCAAUGACGCUGAGGCACGAAAGCGUGGGGAUCAAACAGG
RNAcentral lists this ribosomal RNA (254 nucleotides) under uncultured bacterium. RNAcentral describes it as "partial 16S ribosomal RNA". It matches the Rfam family "Bacterial small subunit ribosomal RNA", at positions 524 to 776 of the family's 1533-position model. The record is from RNAcentral.